This 74-nucleotide transfer RNA is filed under the name Philodulcilactobacillus myokonensis. Its description in RNAcentral is "tRNA-Asn". It matches the Rfam family "tRNA". From Rfam's summary of the family: Transfer RNA (tRNA) molecules are approximately 80 nucleotides in length. Their secondary structure includes four short double-helical elements and three loops (D, anti-codon, and T loops). Lineage: Bacteria; Bacillati; Bacillota; Bacilli; Lactobacillales; Lactobacillaceae. The record is from RNAcentral.
UGCCCCGUAGUUCAGUUGGUAGAACAACUGCCUGUUAAGCAGAAGGUCACUGGUUCGAGCCCAGUCGGAGCAGC